UGGCCUACGGGGGGCUGCAGUGGGGAAUAUUGCACAAUGGGCGAAAGCCUGAUGCAGCAACGCCGCGUGAGUGAUGAAGGUCUUCGGAUUGUAAAGCUCUGUCUUUUGGGACGAUAAUGACGGUACCAAAGGAGGAAGCCACGGCUAACUACGUGCCAGCAGCCGCGGUAAUACGUAGGUGGCGAGCGUUGUCCGGAUUUACUGGGCGUAAAGGGUGCGUAGGUGGAUAUUUAAGUCAGAUGUGAAACCCCUGGGCUCAACUCAGGGACUGCAUUUGAAACUGGAUAUCUGGAGUGCAGGAGAGGUAAGUGGAAUUCCUAGUGUAGCGGUGAAAUGCGUAGAGAUUAGGAAGAACACCAGUGGCGAAGGCGACUUACUGGACUGUAACUGACACUGAGGCACGAAAGCGUGGGUAGCAAACAGGAUUAGAUACCCCGGUAGUCGUC
Molecule: ribosomal RNA, 446 nt
Filed under: uncultured Clostridium sp.
Lineage: Bacteria; Bacillati; Bacillota; Clostridia; Eubacteriales; Clostridiaceae
Description: bacterial SSU rRNA
Rfam family: Bacterial small subunit ribosomal RNA
Source: RNAcentral